This 236-nucleotide ribosomal RNA is filed under the name uncultured bacterium. Its description in RNAcentral is "partial 16S ribosomal RNA". It matches the Rfam family "Bacterial small subunit ribosomal RNA", at positions 99 to 334 of the family's 1533-position model. The record is from RNAcentral.
CGAACGGGUGCGUAACACGUGAACAACCUGCCCUCGUGUGGGGGGAUAGCCAUGCUAACGCGUGGGUAAUACCGCAUACGUUCCUUUGGGGGAGUCUUCGAGGGAAGAAAGCUCUGGCGCACGGGGAGGGGUUCGCGGCCUAUCAGCUAGUUGGUGCGGUAACGGCGCACCAAGGCGACGACGGGUAGCUGGUCUGAGAGGAUGGCCAGCCACAUUGGGACUGAGAUACGGCCCAG